GACGAACGCUGGCGGCGCGCUUAACACAUGCAAGUCGAACGGAAAGGCCCCAGCUUGCUGGGGUACUCGAGUGGCGAACGGGUGAGUAACACGUGGGUGAUCUGCCCUGCACUCUGGGAUAAGCCUGGGAAACUGGGUCUAAUACCGGAUAGGACCGUGCUUUAGUGUGUGCGGUGGAAAGUUUUUCGGUGCAGGAUGAGCCCGCGGCCUAUCAGCUUGUUGGUGGGGUAAUGGCCUACCAAGGCGGCGACGGGUAGCCGGCCUGAGAGGGUGUACGGCCACAUUGGGACUGAGACACGGCCCAGACUCCUACGGGAGGCAGCAGUGGGGAAUAUUGCACAAUGGGCGCAAGCCUGAUGCAGCGACGCCGCGUGGGGGAUGACGGCCUUCGGGUUGUAAACCCCUUUCGGCAGGGACGAAGCUUUUGUGACGGUACCUGCAUAAGAAGCACCGGCUAACUACGUG
This 465-nucleotide ribosomal RNA is filed under the name uncultured bacterium. RNAcentral's name for it is "partial 16S ribosomal RNA". It matches the Rfam family "Bacterial small subunit ribosomal RNA", at positions 28 to 507 of the family's 1533-position model. The record is from RNAcentral.